This 533-nucleotide ribosomal RNA is filed under the name uncultured bacterium. RNAcentral's name for it is "partial 16S ribosomal RNA". It matches the Rfam family "Bacterial small subunit ribosomal RNA", at positions 355 to 881 of the family's 1533-position model. The record is from RNAcentral.
UGGGGAAUUUUGGACAAUGGGGGAAACCCUGAUCCAGCCAUCCCGCGUGUGCGAUGAAGGCCUUCGGGUUGUAAAGCACUUUUGGCAGGAAAGAAACGUCGCGGGUUAAUACCCCGCGAAACUGACGGUACCUGCAGAAUAAGCACCGGCUAACUACGUGCCAGCAGCCGCGGUAAUACGUAGGGUGCAAGCGUUAAUCGGAAUUACUGGGCGUAAAGCGUGCGCAGGCGGUUCGGAAAGAAAGAUGUGAAAUCCCAGAGCUUAACUUUGGAACUGCAUUUUUAACUACCGGGCUAGAGUGUGUCAGAGGGAGGUGGAAUUCCGCGUGUAGCAGUGAAAUGCGUAGAUAUGCGGAGGAACACCGAUGGCGAAGGCAGCCUCCUGGGAUAACACUGACGCUCAUGCACGAAGGCGUGGGGAGCAAACAGGAUUAGAUACCCUGGUAGUCCACGCCCUAAACGAUGUCAACUAGCUGUUGGGGCCUUCGGGCCUUGGUAGCGCAGCUAACGCGUGAAGUUGACCGCCUGGGGAGU